This is a long non-coding RNA of Durio zibethinus, 619 nucleotides long. RefSeq lists it as uncharacterized. Lineage: Eukaryota; Viridiplantae; Streptophyta; Magnoliopsida; Malvales; Malvaceae. The record is from RefSeq and is a predicted model, not a curated record.
ACUUUUCAAAGCUUAUGAUUGGGCUACGAAACAAUGGGCUGAGCCCAAAUUAACCCAAUUGCAUGGAACCCAAGAAAGCCUUAGGUUGGGCCAAUUGAGAACUGCCCAUCUGGCCUGUUCUCUCUAAAGGCCACCGAGGCGGCGGCGGUGUUGAAUUACUGAAAAUUUGGAGAUCUAAAGGGAAAAAGCUCAAACUCAUUGAAAAACGACGGGAAAGAUGAUUUACCGGAAAUGGAGUUUGCUAACCGGCCCUGUCGUAAUCCUCGGCGGAAUCGUGGGAGCAACCGUUGCCGCUCACCUCCUCUUCGUUGACGAUCCAUAUCUUAAACCUAAGAAGAAGUUGACGUAUACGCCACCAUCAACCAAGUAGGAAGAAGUUGAUAGCUGCUUGUUGGUUUUGGCAUUAGUUUUUUAUGACCUCUCUUGAGCAGCCAAGUGCCCAAGUUGCUGUUUGAAACAUGAGUUAUUUGUUGAAUAAUAUCAAAUACUGUUGUUGUGUAAUUUGGUUAUCUUCUCUUUUUUCUCUCUUUUAAUAAUAAUUUGGUUAUCUACAAUGUUCUUAAAUAUUGCAAAUCCACAUGAUAAAGCCGGUUUCAGCUACCGGAACGAUAUUUCGUCC